AUUGAACGCUGGCGGCAUGCUUUACACAUGCAAGUCGAACGGCAGCACGGGGGCAACCCUGGUGGCGAGUGGCGAACGGGUGAGUAAUGCAUCGGAACGUACCCGGGAGUGGGGGAUAACGUAGCGAAAGUUACGCUAAUACCGCAUAUUCUGUGAGCAGGAAAGUGGGGGACCGUAAGGCCUCAUGCUUCUGGAGCGGCCGAUGUCGGAUUAGCUAGUUGGUGGGGUAAAGGCUUACCAAGGCGACGAUCCGUAGCGGGUCUGAGAGGAUGAUCAGCCACACUGGGACUGAGACACGGCCCAGACUCCUACGGGAGGCAGCAGUGGGGAAUUUUGGACAAUGGGCGCAAGCCUGAUCCAGCCAUGCCGCGUGAGUGAAGAAGGCCUUCGGGUUGUAAAGCUCUUUUGUUGGGGAAGAAAUGCUCUGGGUUAAUACCCUGGGGUGAUGACGGUACCCAAAGAAUAAGCACCGGCUAACUACGUGCCAGCCGCCGCAGUAA
Molecule: ribosomal RNA, 500 nt
Filed under: uncultured bacterium
Lineage: Bacteria
Description: partial 16S ribosomal RNA
Rfam family: Bacterial small subunit ribosomal RNA
Source: RNAcentral